This 47-nucleotide transfer RNA is filed under the name Callithrix jacchus (white-tufted-ear marmoset). Its description in RNAcentral is "partial tRNA-Leu". Lineage: Eukaryota; Metazoa; Chordata; Mammalia; Primates; Cebidae. The record is from RNAcentral.
CUUUUAAAGGAUAGUAGUUAUCCAUUGGUCUUAGGAACCAAAAACAU